RNAcentral lists this transfer RNA (71 nucleotides) under Loxodonta africana (African savanna elephant). It matches the Rfam family "tRNA". Rfam says of the family: Transfer RNA (tRNA) molecules are approximately 80 nucleotides in length. Their secondary structure includes four short double-helical elements and three loops (D, anti-codon, and T loops). Lineage: Eukaryota; Metazoa; Chordata; Mammalia; Proboscidea; Elephantidae. The record is from Rfam by way of RNAcentral.
GCAGUGGUGGUUCAAUGGUAGAAUUAUUGCCUUCCAUAUAGGAGACCCAGGUUCAAUUCCUGGCCAAUGUA